CCUGGUGUGAUGUCGAGCAGGAGAAAAGAAGAAGAGGGAGCCAAUUUCAUCAUGACAAUCACAAAAUUGGAUGGCUAAAACCCCAACUCUGCUCUCUUUGAUCAAUUUCUAGCAUUCUUGAUAGGUGAAAUAACGUCUGGAUGGCAACGGGUCAAACGAGUAAUAAAGCAACAACACUCCUACGGGCGAAGGUGAUAAGUCAUGAAAAUCAACGGGGUGACUUGAACCGGAAUCAUGAAAGAAGAAAAGACUCACAAGUCAUUCACAAAUAAUUCGGUUCAAUCAAUAUAUUAGUUAUUAUUAUGCUUACCAUAGUUUUUCGUUCGACGCUAAUGAUAUGGUAAUGUUAUAUGACAGUUUGGGGUGGUAGAAAGGCGAAAGUGAUCAAGUCUUGGAAGCGGGUCAAAGAUAGGAGGAUUUAGUGAUAUGUUCACUAAGUAUAGAGGUUUCCUUAUUGGGCCAAUUAGACUUAAUUAUUUGUAUUUUGGAGUUUAAGUCCAAUGUUUAUUUUAGCGAAAUGCUAGUAUGUCAAUGUGGU
Helianthus annuus (common sunflower) is the source of this 538-nucleotide long non-coding RNA. RefSeq lists it as uncharacterized. The transcript has 3 exons. The record is from RefSeq and is a predicted model, not a curated record. NCBI's taxonomy places the organism in Eukaryota, Viridiplantae, Streptophyta, Magnoliopsida, Asterales, Asteraceae.